UACGGGGGGAGCAAGCGUUGUUCGGAUUUCCUGGGCGUAAAGGGCGCGUAGGCGGUCAGCACAAGUCAGUUGUGAAAUCUCCGGGCUUAACUCGGAAAGGUCAACUGAUACUGUGCGACUAGAGUGCAGAAGGGGCAACUGGAAUUCUCGGUGUAGCGGUGAAAUGCGUAGAUAUCGAGAGGAACACCUGCGGCGAAGGCGGGUUGCUGGGCUGACACUGACGCUGAUGCGCGAAAGCCAGGGGAGCGAACGGG
Molecule: ribosomal RNA, 254 nt
Filed under: uncultured bacterium
Lineage: Bacteria
Description: partial 16S ribosomal RNA
Rfam family: Bacterial small subunit ribosomal RNA
Source: RNAcentral